RNAcentral lists this ribosomal RNA (2905 nucleotides) under Escherichia coli O157:H7 str. EC4045. Its description in RNAcentral is "bacterial LSU rRNA". It matches the Rfam family "Bacterial large subunit ribosomal RNA". Lineage: Bacteria; Pseudomonadati; Pseudomonadota; Gammaproteobacteria; Enterobacterales; Enterobacteriaceae. The record is from RNAcentral.
GGUUAAGCGACUAAGCGUACACGGUGGAUGCCCUGGCAGUCAGAGGCGAUGAAGGACGUGCUAAUCUGCGAUAAGCGUCGGUAAGGUGAUAUGAACCGUUAUAACCGGCGAUUUCCGAAUGGGGAAACCCAGUGUGUUUCGACACACUAUCAUUAACUGAAUCCAUAGGUUAAUGAGGCGAACCGGGGGAACUGAAACAUCUAAGUACCCCGAGGAAAAGAAAUCAACCGAGAUUCCCCCAGUAGCGGCGAGCGAACGGGGAGGAGCCCAGAGCCUGAAUCAGUGUGUGUGUUAGUGGAAGCGUCUGGAAAGGCGCGCGAUACAGGGUGACAGCCCCGUACACAAAAAUGCACAUGCUGUGAGCUCGAUGAGUAGGGCGGGACACGUGGUAUCCUGUCUGAAUAUGGGGGGACCAUCCUCCAAGGCUAAAUACUCCUGACUGACCGAUAGUGAACCAGUACCGUGAGGGAAAGGCGAAAAGAACCCCGGCGAGGGGAGUGAAAAAGAACCUGAAACCGUGUACGUACAAGCAGUGGGAGCACAGAGCAAUCUGUGUGACUGCGUACCUUUUGUAUAAUGGGUCAGCGACUUAUAUUCUGUAGCAAGGUUAACCGAAUAGGGGAGCCGAAGGGAAACCGAGUCUUAACUGGGCGUUAAGUUGCAGGGUAUAGACCCGAAACCCGGUGAUCUAGCCAUGGGCAGGUUGAAGGUUGGGUAACACUAACUGGAGGACCGAACCGACUAAUGUUGAAAAAUUAGCGGAUGACUUGUGGCUGGGGGUGAAAGGCCAAUCAAACCGGGAGAUAGCUGGUUCUCCCCGAAAGCUAUUUAGGUAGCGCCUCGUGAAUUCAUCUCCGGGGGUAGAGCACUGUUUCGGCAAGGGGGUCAUCCCGACUUACCAACCCGAUGCAAACUGCGAAUACCGGAGAAUGUUAUCACGGGAGACACACGGCGGGUGCUAACGUCCGUCGUGAAGAGGGAAACAACCCAGACCGCCAGCUAAGGUCCCAAAGUCAUGGUUAAGUGGGAAACGAUGUGGGAAGGCCCAGACAGCCAGGAUGUUGGCUUAGAAGCAGCCAUCAUUUAAAGAAAGCGUAAUAGCUCACUGGUCGAGUCGGCCUGCGCGGAAGAUGUAACGGGGCUAAACCAUGCACCGAAGCUGCGGCAGCGACACUGUGUGUUGUUGGGUAGGGGAGCGUUCUGUAAGCCUGUGAAGGUGUGCUGUGAGGCAUGCUGGAGGUAUCAGAAGUGCGAAUGCUGACAUAAGUAACGAUAAAGCGGGUGAAAAGCCCGCUCGCCGGAAGACCAAGGGUUCCUGUCCAACGUUAAUCGGGGCAGGGUGAGUCGACCCCUAAGGCGAGGCCGAAAGGCGUAGUCGAUGGGAAACAGGUUAAUAUUCCUGUACUUGGUGUUACUGCGAAGGGGGGACGGAGAAGGCUAUGUUGGCCGGGCGACGGUUGUCCCGGUUUAAGCGUGUAGGCUGGUUUUCCAGGCAAAUCCGGAAAAUCAAGGCUGAGGCGUGAUGACGAGGCACUACGGUGCUGAAGCAACAAAUGCCCUGCUUCCAGGAAAAGCCUCUAAGCAUCAGGUAACAUCAAAUCGUACCCCAAACCGACACAGGUGGUCAGGUAGAGAAUACCAAGGCGCUUGAGAGAACUCGGGUGAAGGAACUAGGCAAAAUGGUGCCGUAACUUCGGGAGAAGGCACGCUGAUAUGUAGGUGAAGUCCCUCGCGGAUGGAGCUGAAAUCAGUCGAAGAUACCAGCUGGCUGCAACUGUUUAUUAAAAACACAGCACUGUGCAAACACGAAAGUGGACGUAUACGGUGUGACGCCUGCCCGGUGCCGGAAGGUUAAUUGAUGGGGUCAGCGCAAGCGAAGCUCUUGAUCGAAGCCCCGGUAAACGGCGGCCGUAACUAUAACGGUCCUAAAGUAGCGAAAUUCCUUGUCGGGUAAGUUCCGACCUGCACGAAUGGCGUAAUGAUGGCCAGGCUGUCUCCACCCGAGACUCAGUGAAAUUGAACUCGCUGUGAAGAUGCAGUGUACCCGCGGCAAGACGGAAAGACCCCGUGAACCUUUACUAUAGCUUGACACUGAACAUUGAGCCUUGAUGUGUAGGAUAGGUGGGAGGCUUUGAAGUGUGGACGCCAGUCUGCAUGGAGCCGACCUUGAAAUACCACCCUUUAAUGUUUGAUGUUCUAACGUGGACCCGUGAUCCGGGUUGCGGACAGUGUCUGGUGGGUAGUUUGACUGGGGCGGUCUCCUCCUAAAGAGUAACGGAGGAGCACGAAGGUUGGCUAAUCCUGGUCGGACAUCAGGAGGUUAGUGCAAUGGCAUAAGCCAGCUUGACUGCGAGCGUGACGGCGCGAGCAGGUGCGAAAGCAGGUCAUAGUGAUCCGGUGGUUCUGAAUGGAAGGGCCAUCGCUCAACGGAUAAAAGGUACUCCGGGGAUAACAGGCUGAUACCGCCCAAGAGUUCAUAUCGACGGCGGUGUUUGGCACCUCGAUGUCGGCUCAUCACAUCCUGGGGCUGAAGUAGGUCCCAAGGGUAUGGCUGUUCGCCAUUUAAAGUGGUACGCGAGCUGGGUUUAGAACGUCGUGAGACAGUUCGGUCCCUAUCUGCCGUGGGCGCUGGAGAACUGAGGGGGGCUGCUCCUAGUACGAGAGGACCGGAGUGGACGCAUCACUGGUGUUCGGGUUGUCAUGCCAAUGGCACUGCCCGGUAGCUAAAUGCGGAAGAGAUAAGUGCUGAAAGCAUCUAAGCACGAAACUUGCCCCGAGAUGAGUUCUCCCUGACCCUUUAAGGGUCCUGAAGGAACGUUGAAGACGACGACGUUGAUAGGCCGGGUGUGUAAGCGCAGCGAUGCGUUGAGCUAACCGGUACUAAUGAACCGUGAGGCUUAACCUU